CCUUCGAUAGCUCAGUUGGUAGAGCGAUGGACUGUAGACUGAUAAGUGUGAACUAAUUGCGUGUAGACAUCCACAGGUCGCUGGUUCGACUCCGGUUCGAAGAA
RNAcentral lists this transfer RNA (104 nucleotides) under Drosophila busckii. It matches the Rfam family "tRNA". Rfam says of the family: Transfer RNA (tRNA) molecules are approximately 80 nucleotides in length. Their secondary structure includes four short double-helical elements and three loops (D, anti-codon, and T loops). Further hydrogen bonds mediate the characteristic L-shaped molecular structure. tRNAs have two regions of fundamental functional importance: the anti-codon, which is responsible for specific mRNA codon recognition, and the 3' end, to which the tRNAs corresponding amino acid is attached (by aminoacyl-tRNA synthetases). tRNAs cope with the degeneracy of the genetic code in two manners: having more than one tRNA (with a specific anti-codon) for a particular amino acid; and 'wobble' base-pairing, i.e. permitting non-standard base-pairing at the 3rd anti-codon position. Lineage: Eukaryota; Metazoa; Arthropoda; Insecta; Diptera; Drosophilidae. The record is from Rfam by way of RNAcentral.